RNAcentral lists this ribosomal RNA (473 nucleotides) under uncultured bacterium. RNAcentral describes it as "bacterial SSU rRNA". It matches the Rfam family "Bacterial small subunit ribosomal RNA", at positions 328 to 793 of the family's 1533-position model. The record is from RNAcentral.
CGCUAUCACUCCUACGGGGAGGCAGCAGUAGGGAAUCUUCACAAUGGGCGCAAGCCUGAUGGAGCAACACCGCGUGAGUGAAGAAGGGUUUCGGCUCGUAAAGCUCUGUUGUUAAAGAAGAACGCGUAUGAGAGUAACUGUUCAUACGUUGACGGUAUUUAACCAGAAAGUCACGGCUAACUACGUGCCAGCAGCCGCGGUAAUACGUAGGUGGCAAGCGUUAUCCGGAUUUAUUGGGCGUAAAGAGAGUGCAGGCGGUUUUCUAAGUCUGAUGUGAAAGCCUUCGGCUUAACCGGAGAAGUGCAUCGGAAACUGGAUAACUUGAGUGCAGAAGAGGGUAGUGGAACUCCAUGUGUAGCGGUGGAAUGCGUAGAUAUAUGGAAGAACACCAGUGGCGAAGGCGGCUACCUGGUCUGCAACUGACGCUGAGACUCGAAAGCAUGGGUAGCGAACAGGAUUAGAUACCCUGGUAG